RNAcentral lists this non-coding RNA (26 nucleotides) under Mus musculus (house mouse). The record is from RNAcentral. Lineage: Eukaryota; Metazoa; Chordata; Mammalia; Rodentia; Muridae.
UGAUGCUCGGGAGAAGGUGCUGCAGA